CCCUUAGAGUUUGAUCCUGGCUCAGAUUGAACGCUGGCGGCAGGCCUAACACAUGCAAGUCGAGCGCGAAAAGUUUUCGGACUUAGUAAAGCGGCGGACGGGUGAGUAACGCGUGGGAAUCUGCCUGGUAGUGGGGGACAACAGCCGGAAACGGCUGCUAAUACCGCAUACGCCCUACGGGGGAAAGGGGGGGAUCUUCGGACCUCUCGCUAUCAGAUGAGCCCGCGUCGGAUUAGCUUGUUGGUGAGGUAAAGGCUCACCAAGGCGACGAUCCGUAACUGGUCUGAGAGGAUGAUCAGUCACACUGGAACUGAGACACGGUCCAGACUCCUACGGGAGGCAGCAGUGGGGAAUAUUGGACAAUGGGGGCAACCCUGAUCCAGCCAUGCCGCGUGUGUGAAGAAGGCCUUAGGGUUGUAAAGCACUUUCAGUGGGGAGAAAGGUAAUUCACCUAAUACGUGAGUUAAUUGAUGCUACCCACAGAAGAAGCACCGGCUAACUCCGUGCCAGCAGCCGCGGUAAUACGGAGGGUGCAAGCGUUAAUCGGAAUUACUGGGCGUAAAGCGCACGUAGGUGGUUUUCUAAGCCAGCUGUGAAAUCCCCGGGCUCAACCUGGGACUUGCAGUUGGAACUGGAAAGCU
RNAcentral lists this ribosomal RNA (641 nucleotides) under uncultured bacterium. RNAcentral describes it as "bacterial SSU rRNA". It matches the Rfam family "Bacterial small subunit ribosomal RNA", at positions 1 to 642 of the family's 1533-position model. The record is from RNAcentral.